Molecule: ribosomal RNA, 497 nt
Filed under: uncultured bacterium
Lineage: Bacteria
Description: partial 16S ribosomal RNA
Rfam family: Bacterial small subunit ribosomal RNA
Source: RNAcentral
GAUGAACGCUGGCGGCGUGCCUAAUACAUGCAAGUCGAGCGAACAGAUAAGGAGCUUGCUCCUUUGACGUUAGCGGCGGACGGGUGAGUAACACGUGGGUAACCUACCUAUAAGACUGGAAUAGCUCCGGGAAACCGGGGCUAAUGCCGGAUAACAUUUAGAACCGCAUGGUUCUAAAGUGAAAGAUGGUUUUACUAUCACUUAUAGAUGGACCCGCGCCGUAUUAGCUAGUUGGUAAGGUAACGGCUUACCAAGGCAACGAUACGUAGCCGACCUGAGAGGGUGAUCGGCCACACUGGAACUGAGACACGGUCCAGACUCCUACGGGAGGCAGCAGUAGGGAAUCUUCCGCAAUGGGCGAAAGCCUGACGGAGCAACGCCGCGUGAGUGAUGAAGGUCUUCGGAUCGUAAAACUCUGUUAUUAGGGAAGAACAAAUGUGUAAGUAACUGUGCACGUCUUGACGGUACCUAAUCAGAAAGCCACGGCUAACUACGUG